CCUACGGGUGGCAGCAGUGGGGAAUAUUGGGCAAUGGAGGCAAGUCUGACCCAGCAACGCCGCGUGAAUGAAGAAGGUCUUCGGGUUGUAAAGUUCUUUUGUCAGGGAAGAAGCACGUGACGGUACCUUAGGACUAAGCCACGGCUACCUACGUGCCAGCAGCCGCGGUAAUACGUAGGAGGCGAGCGUUAUCCGGAAUGACUGGGCGUAAAGGGGGCGUAGGUGGGAAUGCAAGUCAGUAGCGUAACCUCAAGGCUCAACCUAGAGACUACAUUUGAAACUGUAGGUCUUGAGUGCUGGAGAGGCAAUCGGAAUUCCUAGUGUAGCGGUGGAAUGCGUAGAUAUACGGAGGAACACCAGUGGCGAAGGCGGGUUGCUAGACAGUAACUGACACUGAGGCGCGAAAGCGUGGGGAGCAAACAGGAUUAGAUACCCUUGUAGUC
This 443-nucleotide ribosomal RNA is filed under the name uncultured bacterium. Its description in RNAcentral is "partial 16S ribosomal RNA". It matches the Rfam family "Bacterial small subunit ribosomal RNA", at positions 338 to 795 of the family's 1533-position model. The record is from RNAcentral.